GGGGAUAUAGCUCAGUGGUAUAAGUGCCUGUCUGGCAAACACAAAGUCCUGAGUUUGAUUUCUAGUACCCCCU
This 73-nucleotide transfer RNA is filed under the name Cavia porcellus (domestic guinea pig). It matches the Rfam family "tRNA". From Rfam's summary of the family: Transfer RNA (tRNA) molecules are approximately 80 nucleotides in length. The record is from Rfam by way of RNAcentral. Lineage: Eukaryota; Metazoa; Chordata; Mammalia; Rodentia; Caviidae.